This 2023-nucleotide ribosomal RNA is filed under the name bioreactor sludge metagenome. RNAcentral describes it as "bacterial LSU rRNA". It matches the Rfam family "Bacterial large subunit ribosomal RNA", at positions 767 to 2925 of the family's 2925-position model. The record is from RNAcentral.
UGGAGGUCCGAACCCGUGAAUGUUGAAAAAUUCUGGGAUGACUUGUGGAUAGGGGUGAAAGGCUAAUCAAACCUGGAGAUAGCUGGUUCUCCGCGAAAUCUAUUUAGGUAGAGCGUCCGACGAAUACCCUGGGGGGUAGAGCACUGGAUGGUUGCGGGCUGCGCGAGCGGUACCAAUACUAACCAAACUCCGAAUACCCAGGAGUACUAUCGGGCAGACACACGGCGGGUGCUAACGUCCGUCGUGAAAAGGGAAACAACCCUAACCAUCAUCUAAGGCCCCCAAGUCAUGGCUAAGUGGGAAACGAUGUGGGAUUGCUUUGACAAUCAGGAGGUUGGCUUAGAAGCAGCCAUCCUUUAAAGAAAGCGUAACAGCUCACUGAUCAAGCGAUCCUGCGCGGAAAAUGUAACGGGGCUCAAGCCAUGCGCCGAAGAUAUGGGUUUGCAGUUUACUGCAAGCGGUAGCGGAGCGUUCCGUAAGCCGGUGAAGGUCAGGCGUGAGCCUGGCUGGAGGUAUCGGAAGUGAGAAUGCUGACAUGAGUAACGAUAAACAGUGUGAGAAACACUGUCGCCGAAAGACCAAGGGUUCCUGCGUAAAGCUAAUCUGCGCAGGGUUAGUCGGCCCCUAAGGCGAGGCUGAAAAGCGUAGUCGAUGGGAAGCAGGUAAAUAUUCCUGCACCAGCUAGAAGUGACGGAUGGCGUAAGUUGUCGGGGCUUAUUGGAUUGUCCCGGCAGCGAAGUUGUCCCUGGAAAUAACUCUAGCAGAGACCGUACCCGAAACCGACACAGGUGGUCAGGUAGAGCAUACCAAGGCGCUUGAGAGAACUGUGCUGAAGGAACUCGGCAAAUUGCACGCGUAACUUCGGAAUAAGCGUGACUCACCCAGCGCAAGCUGGACUGAGUGGCACAAGCCAGGGGGUAGCGACUGUUUAGCAAAAACACAGGGCUCUGCGAAGCAGCAAUGCGACGUAUAGGGUCUGACGCCUGCCCGGUGCCUGAAGGUUAAAGGGAGUUGUGAAAGCGACGAACUGAAGCCCAGGUAAACGGCGGCCGUAACUAUAACGGUCCUAAGGUAGCGAAAUUCCUUGUCGGGUAAGUUCCGACCUGCACGAAUGGCGUAACGACUUCCCCACUGUCUCCAGCACAUGCUCAGCGAAAUUGAAUUCUCCGUGAAGAUGCGGAGUACCCGCGGUUAGACGGAAAGACCCCGUGCACCUUUACUGCAGCUUCAGAGUGGCAGUGAAAAACAACUGUGUAGAAUAGGUGGGAGGCUUUGAAGCACUGGCGCCAGCCGGUGUGGAGCCACAAUGUGAAAUACCACCCUGUUGUUUUUUACUGUCUAACCUCGCGCCGUUAGCCGGCGUAGGGACCCUCUGUGGCGGGUAGUUUGACUGGGGCGGUCGCCUCCUAAAGAGUAACGGAGGCGCGCGAUGGUGGGCUCAGGACGGUUGGAAACCGUCUGUUAGAGUGCAAUGGCAUAAGCCCGCCUGACUGCGAGACUGACAAGUCGAGCAGAGACGAAAGUCGGUCAUAGUGAUCCGGUGGUCCCUCGUGGAAGGGCCAUCGCUCAACGGAUAAAAGGUACGCCGGGGAUAACAGGCUGAUAACCCCCAAGAGCUCAUAUCGACGGGGUUGUUUGGCACCUCGAUGUCGGCUCAUCACAUCCUGGGGCUGGAGCAGGUCCCAAGGGUUUGGCUGUUCGCCAAUUAAAGUGGUACGUGAGCUGGGUUCAGAACGUCGCGAGACAGUUUGGUCCCUAUCUGCCGUGGGCGUCGAAAUUUGAGAGGAGUUGACCCUAGUACGAGAGGACCGGGUUGAACAUACCUCUGGUGGACCUGUCAUCGUGCCAACGGUGCAGCAGGGUAGCUAUGUAUGGACGGGAUAACCGCUGAAAGCAUCUAAGCGGGAAGCCUCCCUCAAGAUAAGAUUUCUUAGGACGGUCGGAGACCACGACCUUGAUAGGCCGGAUGUGGAAGCGCGGUAACGCGUGGAGCUAACCGGUCCUAAUUGUCCUAUUCGCGCUU